UUCUCUCUAAAGCUUCCCUUUAAUUUACGGUUUUAAACCUUCUCUAGUUCUAGUUUGUGAGUAAAUUGCGAGAGACCAAAAAUGAGUGUGGAGAUUUUGGAUGGUGCCACCAUUGUCAACUUUCUAGAGGACGAGGAAGCAUUCAACGCGCAAAUAUGUGACCGCUUCGCCCACCUUGAUUCAGACCAUGAUGGCCGGCUUUCCUACGGGGAAAUGUUGAAGGAGCUGCAGUGUUUGAGGUUAUUGGAAACCCACUUCGGCGUGGAUGUGGAAACAGACCCGGAUGAGCUUGCUCUCGUCUAUGAUUCUCUUUUUGUCCAAUUUGAUCAUGACUUGAAUGGGACAGUGGACUUGGAAGAGUUCAAGUCAGAGACCAAGCAAAUGAUGCUAGCCAUGGCCAGUGGUAUGGGUUUCUUGCCUGUUCAGAUGGUCCUGGAAGAAGACAGUUUCCUGAAGAAGGCUGUGGAGUGGGAAUCUGCUAAACUCGUUGCCUGAUUAAUUUCACAUCCAUUACCCUAUACAUGACUCAUUAAUUGUCUUUGUUAUUUCUUUCUUCUCCGAAUGCAUUCCAAGUUUAGCUGAAUGUAGCAAAGAAAAUAAAUGAAAUGCUCUGUUAUUGGUGAAGGUGCAAUUUGGUAUCUUAAAACUUGGUUCUCUCCUCAUGCAAUUUGGUCAUGACCAUCCAGCCAUAGUUAAUAUAACAAAAGGGAAUGGAAUUGGUAGAACAGAGUUGAAUCAAAAUGGGAAAAGAACUUGCGUGUGUCACGUCCAGGGGAACAGAUAAAAAUUAAAGAAAUACUGUCCUAAUAUAAAGUCCAGUUAAAUAAAAACUUGCAGGCGAAUCUGCCGUGCAAUUUAACUAGAUUUUGCGCUCUAAACACCUAAUUCCAUCAUGAUUUGUUUAGCAUGCGUAUGAAACAAACUUCCCACAUUGGAUCACAAAAACAAUGACAUCUCAGGAGAUGGAAUGAAAGAGAGAAUGCUUUCACCAAACAGCUCAAACAGGGAUACCAGAAGAUGCUCAUUAUUCAAGUCUUCAUUCAAACCUUGUUGAGAAUGUGAUGCGGAACAAUAAAUCAAAAAUAAAAAUAAAAAAUUAAAGUAGUAAAGAAUGAAGCUUUACAGAAAUAAGUUAAGAAUUAAAAGUAAAGCAAGGGAAAAGCCAGGGGAAAAAAAAAGAAUUGAAGAAGAAAAGUCUAUCAUUAUUAUUUAAUCAUAAAAAACUCUCCCAAAAAGUGAAAGAGAAACAUAUAAAUAGCAUAACCUUACAAUAUCCACUUAUUGGGUUCAACUCAUCAAUUAAAAUUUUCUAACAUAAAUAAGUCAAAUUAAUAAAAUAAAACAAUGAAAUAGGCCCAAAUGAGCUCAGUCUCCCAACCAAAAAGUGACAGGCUAGGUCAUUUUAUGUCGUCUUUGUCUAUAUACUCGUGUAAUUUGUGGUGUAAGUCUAAAGUCCCCACCAACUCUCCUAAUGUAGCUCUGGGUGACCUUGAUAACACUCCCAAAGUUCUGGAUCAAUCUGCUACAAAGUAUCUAUGGUGAUCUAAGUACAAUUUGAAUCAGGUCGGCCAACCCAAGAGUUAGAAACAGUUGAACCUCACUAUUCCAAGUAAAAAAAAACUUGUUCAUCCAAAAUGACAUCAAUAUUAUCCUUUUGUGUUCAGAUCAAGGUCAAAGGGGUAGAGGUUUCAAUAGGAUCAUCAAGAGGAGAGUUAGGUGGCAUCUCAAAUGGAUCAUUUGGAAUAGGAUGUUGUUUCUGGUAUGCAACUAAAUCCGCAGUGCUAAAUGUAAAGUUAAUGCCAAAAUCAAGUGGUAAAUCAAGAACAUAAACAUUUGGACCAACUCCUUGUAGCACUUUGAAUGGCCCUGCACUACGUGCAUGCAAUUUUCGAUUAGUUCCUGAAGGAAACUACUUGUGUCUAUUCCAUAUAAUAACUUAGUCUCCCACAUUAAAUUUAUUAUAUCAUCUAUGUAAAUAAGCUCAGAGUUUAUAUUGUGCAUUACUUGCUUGAAUUUGCUUAGUGAUCUAAAUAUGCAAAUUCUAAAUUUUACGUGUAAAAAACUUUGUUAACUCAAACACCUUAGUAUGAAGAGAUAUGGGAAGAAGGUUUAAAGGUUUCCUAGGCUUGUAACCAUGUACAACUUCAAAGGGACUCAUGCAAAUUGACCUAUUGACAGAACUCUUAUAUGCAAACUAGGUCAUAGGAAGAACCAAAUCCCAAUUCCUAUUAUGAUAACUCACUAGACACCUCAGAAAGUUGCCUAAUCUGGGUGGUAGGCACUAGAAAACUUCAACUGAGUUCCCACUAUAUGGCGAAGGGUUUUCUAGAAAUAACUCAUAAAUCUAACAUCCUUAUCUAAGACUAUGGUUUGGGGGAAAUCGUACAACUUGACAAUCUCGUUAAAAUAGAGUUCCGCAACUCUAGAAGCAUUUGUGAUCUUAGUACAAAAGAUAAAAUAGGUCAUCUUAGAGAAACAGUCGAAAACCAUAAAAAAGAAUCAUGCUUCUUUGCAGUACGUAGAAGCCCAAUCACAAAAUUCAUACUUACAUUUUGCCAAGGGCAAGUAGGAAAAGGUAACGGGGUGUAAAUACCAAUAUUUUGUUUUUUAUGCUUUGCUAGUUGACAUGUUCAACAUUGACCUCCCAACUUAGCUACAUCUCUUUCAAACUAGACAAAAAAAAUUGAUGUUCCCCCUCUUAAAUGGGUUUAUUUCUUCUAAAGUGUUCUGAAAGACCUCCAAUAUGAAUCUCCCAUACAAACUCCAGCAAGUUUAAAAUUAAAAUCCUACUACAACUUAGAAAAAACAUAGGCGGCUAUCUUUCCUUUAGUUUCAAGGAUAUCUUGGUCACUUUUACUUUUUCAUUACUUCAUAAUCUUCAGAGUAUGAUACCUUAUAGCUUCACGGUUACAAGUCAUUUCCUCAUUACUUUGGGUCUUUAAUGGGUUGUAUGGAAGACUAUAAAUAAGCCUUGAAUCAAUUCUGUAAUAUUUUCUUUCCUUCUCUUCUUCUCAUGGUAAAACAAAGAUUUAAUAUUAUGGGUUUUAUUUUAUUUUGUUUAUGCUUAAUUAAUAUAUUUUUUUCAGCUAGGAUCUAAGGCUUGUUUGGAUCAGGGUUUGGGCUUACUAGUAAAGGUUUUGAGUAAGUUUUUAUAUGUGGGUUAGUUUAGCCCACAAGGGUGGAUCCAUUUGGGUUAAUUUCUUAGAACAAUUUAAACACAUAUAAGCCUAAAUUUCACCAGCGAUUGAUAAAUAAUACUUGUGAAUUUUUUAAUUUUAACAUGUGAGAGAAAUUCUUGUAUUCUAUGGUUCUUAAACGAACUGAAUAUGACUUCUCAAAGUUUAAUUGGCUUCAUGACGUCAUUCGACAUCAUUCCAAUAAUGUUGGUGUCUCAGGAUAGGUUUUUAUUGUGUCACACUUCUAUUAGAUCAAUUUUGGCUUUUUAGGAUCAAAUUUUAAUCUUGAAUGUGGGUUGUGUGACCAUGUAUUCACGAGGUUCACAUCAGUGUUCAAGAGAUGCUAAUAAAUAUCUUUGAGUGGUAAAGGUAUGUCAAUAUUUGAUAAGGGCACUUGAGCAUCCAAUGACAUAGUGAGAUCCAAUUGGACAAGACUCCCAAUCUGAGAGCCAUUUCCCAAUUCAUAUUCUAUCAUACUUUAGAGUUCAUAUAUGGGGUUUCCUCGAAGGUGAUCCAUCCUACCUCAAUAAGCUAGAGGAGCUUGUCUUUAAAAGCAUAACAACUUUCAAUGUUAUGACCACUAGUGCCAUCAUGAUACUCGUAUGUCUAGUUAGUAUUAUACCAUUUUAGAUAUGGGGGUUGAAAUGGUUUCUAGAUAAUCAAAAUAAUUUGUCCAAUAUUGACCAAUCUUUCAAAUAUCUCUUUAAAAGAUAAAGGAAAGAGCGAUAUAGUUUUCUUUAACUAUUGUGACUUUUCAUAUAUUUUCUUAUUAGAUGGAACCUGAUUAGUCAUUUGAGGAGAAUGAUUAGGAUGCUAAGAUAUAGAAUGAUCUUGAUUCAUACUUCUCAUAUAGGAGUUAUCUUUUUAUUUGUCAAACGACAUAGCAUUAAACCUCUCUUCUUUAUUCCAGAUCCUUCUCAAUUUCAAUCCUUGCUCCACACUCUCUACUGUCGUUUUUAUCUCUAUUAAAUAAGCUCAUGAAUUACAAGUUAUGUAAUCACAAUAAGGAGUCUUUGAAGUAUUGAUGAAGAUGGAAUUGAGCUCAUUUUAUAGUAGUGGAGCGUAAACUUGGGUUGUCAUUUGUCGCAGCCUCAUCGCAUAUUCCUUGACUGACUCAUCAUUUCUCAUCUCAAUUCUUUGAAGGUCUAACCUGGUUAGAGCCAUCUUUAAGUUGAAUCCAAAUUGUUGCAGAAAUGCAUCAACCAAGUAUUCUUAUUUCUUCUUUUCAGAGCCAUUUAAAUCCAAGUUGGGUUUUAAAAUUAUGAUAAUAAUCAUUUUUAUCCUUACAUGUCUUAGUUGUAUAAUUUUAAAAUUAAGAGUUUUUUACAAGAAUAUUUUAGAGAAAAAAAAUAACAAAUAUUUUUUCUAGAGACAUGUCCUCUCUAUACCUUCUAUUUUGGAAGUAUAGACAUUCACUCCAAAAUUAUCCGAGGGACAUAUUUAUUUUUAUAUCUUUGUCUCUUCAACCAAAUAUAUUUAUGUCUUCAUUGUCUUCAUCUCUUUUGUUUCAGGACAGUAACCAAACACUAUUUAAUAUACACUAUUUAAACUAUUUUUAGUGAUUUGGAUAUUAGUUAUCUUUUUUGAAUAAAAUUUUAAGAGUCAAGUUUCUCUAUACAACUUUACUAUUUUAUUGUUUAAAGGGUUUUUAAGAAGUAAUAAACCCUAAUACUUUUGGUAAGCUGAAUCAUUUGUAUAAAGAAAGUAUCAUUGUUAACUUGAAUAUUUCAAAAGCUUAAACACCUAAAAAAUGUUAGACUGACAAAUAGACUCCUAAGUAACUAAAUGCUUUUCCUAUGGCCCUUUGAAUUACCCUAUCAUAAUAGAAAGUGAUUCAUCAUGCUAAAGAUAAUCGAGCCGUCUGCCAACCUAACACUACAUUCUGAACUUUUUCCACCGCUCUACUAUAUGUAUUUGUUAACAAGCAUAUGUAACAUAGGAACUCUAAAAUAUUACCCAAUAUUUUUUUGUUAAAGCAAACACUGAAAUGAAUUGAUAUCAAGAGCCACCCUUAAACGAAUAAAACAGUCUGGUUUUUAGCCACACUAACAUUUUUUUACCAAAAAGUUACAAAAGUCCUGUAUGAUAACUUUGAUUUGCUUCAAAUCAAGUUUUGCAAAAAAGAAUUAAGUCACCAACAAAUAUGGAUGACAACUUCACCUGACUCGUUUGCAAUCUAAUGUCAUUCAAUUCAAUUGGAUCAUAUUUUUGUCUAAUUUAUUUGAAAAACAAAUAAAAUUCAAUUCAAUUUGACUAAAGAUGGAUGCGUAGAUUAAUAAAUGGUUCACUUGACCCAUCACUUGACUCAACUUCUACAUGGUUUUUUAACCCUUUUAUAUUUUGUAAAGUUGUAAUUUAUAUUUCAAUAUAGUAUAUGGAUUUUUAUCUUAUUAAGGAUUGUUAUGGUUUUACAUAUAGAUAUAAAGUUUAGACUCUAUUUUAUUGUUUUAUGAUUUAUAGAUGGAUAUUUUUUUUUAAGCUUCAAUUUUAUUUUUUAAAUUUUGAUUAAAAAUAGAACAAUUGGAUCAAAUGAGAUACUUGUCGAAUGAAGAAAGUUCUUCAUCCACUCCAAUCUAAUCCAAUCGUAUAGAAGAUGAAGUCAAGUGCUGGAUUUAGAUAUCUCUGGUUAGAGACAAGAGAGCAAAAUUCAGUUGCAACCCAAUCUAUUAUUGUUUCUGUAAAUAACGAAAAGAUGAGAAAUAAUCGAACUUUUUUACUGAAAUAAACAAAUUCACUCUCUAGUCUCAACCGUAUUGGAUCAAUUUUUCUAUACAUGAAACAAAGGUAUAAGAAUAGAGGAUCUUCUUGUUGAAUACUUUGUGAUGAAGUAUAGGAAUUUGAAAUCUUAGCUUUCCAGCUCACUUAUAACAAAGUCAUUGUGAUACGCUUCAUGAUUAACGAAGUGAAACUAUCUAAAAUACCAUAUCCCUAAUAGCAUUUAGGAUCAAGUCCUACCUCAAACAAUCAUAAACCUUUUUUAGGUCUAUCUUAAUUAUCAUCAAAUAUUUUCUAAUUUUCUUUUAUACAUCUAGAGUUAAGAGCCAAUCAUAUAAUCAUAGUGGUAUUAUUGUGCUUCUUUGAAACAACACAUUGGUACUGACUAGCCAAUAUGUGCCAGUCAAGAGUAUUUGUUAUGAAACUCUGUGUAAACUUCUUAAUUGGUUAGCAUUCUUACUUCAAUGUAAUUAAUUUUUUACGUUCUGAAACUCUCAUAUGAAGCACAUCACGCAUUGCUUUCUUUAUACUUAACUUUUCUUAUAUGCAUGUCUUAUGUGAUAAGGAUAAGGAAAAUCUUCAAGUUUUCUAGUUUGUCGUGUUGGUAACAGACUAUUAACAUAUUUUACAAAAAUAAUGAUAAAGUUAUCUUCAGAUAACUUUUUCUACUCUAUCUGAAUUUAUCUUUUAAAUAACCUAAACUAAUCAGAUAAUUAGAGAGAAGAUAAUGCUAAUUAAUCUUGGUAAACUUCUAUCUUAGCCAAAUUAUCCUUUUACCAACCAUAAAAAGAUCACUAAUCUAAACUAAUAAAAUGACAAUUAUUACAAAGUUGAUCCUGCUAUUCUCUUAGGUCAUUAUCAGAAGGGGGAAAGUAAAGGUCUAAAGGCAAAAGGUCCAAACUUCUAUAUUUAAAAUUAGUUGAAAAUCACACCUUUUUUCUUUAUAAGUGGCAUGUUGAUGACAACUAUGUCACAUUUAGAAAGCAUUAAAUCUAGAUCCUCCUCAAACUUUUUACCUGUUAUAUUCUCCAACUCUUUCUCCAUCUUAAGUUUAUUAUGAUACAGUAGAGUGCAACUGAAAAGCUUCAAACGUUGGAGUAAAAGCCUUCUGAUGCGUCUAGCACCAAUAGUUCCCACCAUCUUACCUUCAAGAUUGUAAGCCCUGUAUGCAAUAGCUGCCACAUUCCACUCUUAUUGAUUGAUAACUUGAUGCUAUCUAAGUAAGAAAUUUUAUACAAGAACAAGGAUUCUCAUGAGCUCAUUUUUUGCAACUGAGACAACAUUGCUUCCUGUGACCUUUAUAGCAGUUAACCCAGCAAUAGCUACUACCUCCAAAUCUAUAUGAUCAGAACCAAUUCUAGUAAUGAGAAGCGCUUUUUUGCCCUCUUGAUCCUUUAUGCCGUAACAUCUGCGGGGUGGAAAGGUGUAGUGAUGAGGACAUGGAGAUCAAGAAUAUGCUUGUCAAGUUCUAUGACAAUUAUACAGUUGAAGAGCAAAAAAUCAACAAUCUAGCCAUCCUAAUAUUCUUGGAAAUAAAAGGCAUAAAUCUAAGAUCUUGAAAUCAUUUAAUGUCAUCACUACAAUUAGGACAUGGAGAUCAGCAGUUAAUCUUAUUGUUAAAGUAAAGGUCUAAAGGAAAAGGAUCCAAACUUCUAUAUUUAAAAUUAAUUGAAAAUCAUACCUUAUUUUCUUUGUAAGUGACAUGUUGAUGACAACAAUGUCAUAUUAAGAAAGCAUUAAAUCUAGAUCCUCCUUAAAAUUUGCCCAUGUCUGAUUCUCCAGCUCUGGCUCCAUCUUAAGUAUAUCAUGAUACAGUAAAGUGCAAUUAAAAGGCUUCAAACGUUGGAGUAAAAUCCUUUUGAUGCGUUAGCACCAACAGUUCCUACUAUCUUUCCUUUAAGAUUGUAAGCCUUGUAUGCAAUAACUGCCACAUUUCACUCCUUAUUGAUAACUUGAUGAUAUCCAGGUAAGAAAUUUCAUACAAGAACAAGGAUUCUCAUAAGCUCAUCUUAUGCAAUGGAGACAACAUUAAAAAGAGUGAAGCACUUAAUAACCUAUAUAUGCAGGAAUACAACUUCAACAAAGAACCUUAAUGCUUAAAAACAACACACUUACAAGCUUGUAGCUCCUCAUACUUUCAGCCUCGUGUGAAGAGAUGGACAAUGAUUGUCAAUGGUGAUCAUAUGCUAUAUUUCUAGCCUGUUGUUCAUAAUAAUUCUAUUAAGGAUUAAAUACUUGAUCAUCUUACAUCUUUUUAUGUGGAGGCCUACUUUAGUUUGUGUUAUGCCAGGUGUGUGUAAUGAGACAUAUAAUGAAUGUUGUGCAAAUAAAAUAUACACUCACUACAAUCCAACCAUUCUUUGUCAUCAGUUACAAUGAACUGGUGACCUUGUGAUUCCAGCCAGUCACCAAUGCCCAAAGCUCUUUCCAAGCAACCCACAAAAUUAGUGUUUGAUCAAAUUUUAAAAAUUAAAAAAAAAUUAAAACCUAUAGAGUAACAAUAAAAAUAUUAUUAAAAACAAAAACAUUAAACCUGGAGUUAAGGGGCUUCUUGGUCUUAGCCUUUUUAUAGAAGUUUUAUUUGUUUUUAAUUGCAUCAUUUAAUUUUAAUUUAUCAAAUAUUAUAUUCUCCAAUUUGGUGCUCAAUCUUUGGGUUUCAAAUUUUUUUACCUUGAACCUUUUGUAUAAGUUUUAUUAGUUUUCAAUUUCAUCUUUCAAUUUAAAUUAAUGGUAUUAUGUUUUCCAAUUUGGUCUUAUUAUUUUGAUUUCUAAUUUUUUUCUUAAUUGUUUUUGUAAAAGUUAUUAUUCUUUUUAAUUUCACUCUUCAAUCAAAACAUUCUUUUGAUUUUUUAUGUUAAUUUUUAUCCUCAUUCUUUAGAAUUUUUUUAUCCUUUUACUAAAUUGAUUUUUUUUUUCAAUCUCACCCUUCAAUCAAAUAUAAAUUUAUUUUAUAUUUUAAUUUUGAUCCUCAUUGUUUUAAUUAUUAUUUUUUAAUCUUUUUGUAUAAGAAAAAUGGUUUUCUAUAAAUAAGUACAUAGGAUAAUUUUAAUAAAUGAUUAAGUAAUCCAUUAAACAUGACGUGGUAAUAAAUAAGUAAAGAAUAUUGCAAGCACCAAGUUCUAAAAGUCCAUCUUUGAAGAAAAGAAAAAAAAUGAAAAAAUUCAGUUAGAACCAUAAUUAAGUCUCUAAGACAACUAUAUGCCCAUUAUUUAAUGUUUGACAAACAACACAUGUAGAAUAGACAACUAUAUGCCCGUAUUUUCAGUAUUUUCAUUUUUGUUGUGUAUUGCGGGGAAAAAAAAAAAAAAAAAGAACAUGGUCGGUCCGUCUUACAAGGAGAAGGGAAAGUGACCGCUGUCGGUGCUUUCGACGGGGGUUUUGAAAUUACCAGCACCAUCUUUGGACCUUCGAGAAGUCAACUUUCAUUUGAUUUUCGACUUUAUAAACGCGGCUAGCCCACCGAAUUUUAUUAGGGGAAAAGCCCAUUCCUAAGUUGCCAAUGCCAUUAGAUUCUGACUGAUGGCUCGCCUGUUUAAUAAUUUUUUAGUGGCUGACCGACCGAUCCUCGAAGCAGCGGAUCAUGCAAAGCGUCAAAUAACCAAAUGGAAACUGGGUGCUAACUAUAUUUCUGACUGCUAGUCAACUGUCUGUGUGCCCCUCAUUUACGUAUAAAUGAGCACGAGACCAGCUUCUUAUUCAUCAACAUCAAAUCAGUUAUCUCGAAAGCUUCUCUUUAUUUCACAGAGCACAGAGCCAACUCCUGAUUCAUCAAUAUCAUAUUAGUUCUCUCUAAAGCUUCCCUUUAAUUUACGGUUUUAAACCUUCUCUAGUUCUAGUUUGUGAGUAAAUUAAGAGAGACCAAAAAUGAGUGUGGAGAUUUUGGAUGGUGCCACCAUUGUCAACUUUCUGGAGGACGAGGAAGCAUUCAACGCGCAAAUAUGUGACCGCUUCGCCCACCUUGAUUCAGACCAUGAUGGCCGGCUUUCCUACGGGGAAAUGUUGAAGGAGCUGCAGUGUUUGAGGUUAUUGGAAACCCACUUCGGCGUGGAUGUGGAAACAGACCCGGAUGAGCUUGCUCUCGUCUAUGGUUCUCUUUUUGUCCAAUUUGAUCAUGACUUGAAUGGGACAGUGGAGUUAGAAGAGUUCAAGUCAGAGACCAAGCAAAUGAUGCUAGCCAUGGCCACUGGUAUGGGUUUCUUGCCUGUUCAGAUGGUCCUGGAAGAAGACAGUUUCCUGAAGAAGGCUGUGGAGUGGGAAUCUACUAAACUCGUUGCCUGACUAAUUCCACAUCCAUUACCCUAUACAUGACUCAUUAAUUGUCUUCGUUAUUUCUUUCUUCUCCGAAUGCAUUCCAAGUUUAGCUGAAUGUAGCAAAGAAAAUAAAUGAAAUGCUCUGUUAUUGGUGCAAUUUGGCAUCUUAAAACUCGGUUCUCUCCUAAUGCAAUUUGGUCAUGACCAUCCAGCCAUAGUUAAUAUAACGAAAGGCUGACAGAAACACGAAUAUCUUUCCUCUUUCAAGAGGGCUUCAUCAACUAAUAGAUACAUGGGCAGAAGGAUUGAGCUGGAUGCAUCUCAGUCAUCGUUCAAAAUUUAGCUUCAAGGGAAUGGAAUUGGUAGAACAGAGUUGCAUCAGAAUGGAAAAAGAACUUGCGUGUGUCAGGUCCAGGGGAACAGAUAAAAAUUAAAGAAAUAACUGUCCUCGUAUAAAGUAUAGUUAAAUAAAAAUUUCGAGUCGAAUCUGUUGUGCGUCUGAAAACCUAAUUCCAUCAUGAUUUGUUUAGCAUGCGUAUGAAACAAACUUCCCGCAUUGAAAAGAGGGAAGCAAUUAUUUAAAACGGUAGAGAUUGCGUUUCAAUCAAAACGCAGGAGCCAAGCGUUUGGUAAUAUCAAAAACGCUAAAAAUGACCGGUGGGACCCAUGCCAAUUCAUGUUUUAAACGCGACAUUCGCGAAGCAGCUCUAGGCUGCUUUUUGAAAUUUUGUAUUCGCGUGCACAGUGCAAUUCACUUGCACUGUUCGGGUGAUUUUUUUUUAUUUUUUUUUUAGUGUGUAUAGUUUUUGUAUAUAUUUUUUUUUAAAAAAACUAGUUUUACAUUGUCAUGUAAACAAUAUUUUUUUUUCCUGAAAAACUAGUAUAGAGCGAAUUAAAUUCACUCGCACUGUAAUAUCAAAUUAAUUUUAUUCAUGAUAAUAUUUUAUCUAAUUUUAUUGCAAGCUCAAAAAAUUAUAGAAACUGUAGUUCUUGUCGAAUGAAUUUUGUACGUAAUGGAAUUGUAGAUGGUUUAAUGGCAUAAUAAAAAAUAUUUUAUAUAAAGUAUUAUUUAUUUCAUGAAGUAAUAGUAAUGGUUAAAUCUACAAUAUUUAAAUUAAAAAUCAUCAAUUUUAAUAUGUAUAUUUUAAUUAUUUUAUAAUCUCAAUUUGAAAAGUAUUUUUUUAACCAAACACAUUAAACUACUUUUUCUUCAACCUCAAUUUCAACCACAGUUUUAACCAAACACCUAUUUUUUCAAACCAACCUCAACUAAAAGUACUUUUUAUAAAACAACUUUUUUCAAAUCACAACCACAAAAGCUACCGCAAUACCAAACACACACUUAAUAUCCUAUAUAUGCAAAAACGCAACUUGAACGAAGAACCUGGAUGGUUAAAAACAACACACUUGCAGGCUUGUAGCUCCUGAUAUUUUCAGCCUCGUGUGAAGAUGGACAAUGAUGGUUGAAAAAUCUUUGUAUGUUUUAUCUAGGUAGAUUACUCAUAAUAAUAAGAUUAUUUUUAAAAAAUCUUUGUCUUUUUUACCUGGGUAGCUCAUCCAUUGUAAUAAGACUACUCGAAAAAAAUCUUUGUAUUUCUCUACUUGAAUAGGUCACCCAUUACAAUAAAACUACUUUGAAAAGACCUUUGAGUUUUUCAUUUGGGUGGGUCACCCAUGAUAAAUUGAACAUUUCAGAAUCUUUGAAUUCUACCAAUAGACAGGUUGCUUGGUACUACCAUAUCACUUCAAAAGUCUUUCACAAAGAUAAUCUUUUUCUUUAGAAACUCUAUCUCCUUUUUUUUCGAGUACACUUUCUAACCCUCAUUCUUCAGAUAGUGUGCUUUUUAUCCCUAUCUAUUUUUUUCUGAGUGCACUUUUAAGCCCUUACUACAAACAUUUUCAGAAAGAUUGACCAUUUCUUAAUAUGGUGAGUCCAUAAUCUCGUUCUUUUUCUUCAUCUUUACAAAACUUAUUGUCUAAAGUCUCUCACGAGACUUUCGUUAUAAAGAUUGUAAAGAGAGAGGCAACUGUCAUAACUCAUUUCUGGAUUAUUCCCUAAAUUCACAUUUUUUUUCUUUCCAAAAUAAAAGUCAAAAAAGAAAAUAAAGAAAGCAAGAAAACUAGCGACAUAUAGGAAUAUUAAGUUGUGACUUUGGAAGCCUAAUUGUAUCCUAUUUUACCCACAACUGGAGAGACAAUGUAAAUUAAAGGUCAAAUUAAAUGAUUAUUGGAUGAAUCUACUUAAAAAUUAAGCUUGAGGAUAUAAUUAGAAUUUUAAUAGGCCAAUUUGAUUUAAUCAUGGGCCAAAUUGAGAAUUUAAUUAUGUUUAAGAAUUAAUUUGGGUAAUUAAAGGAUUUAAUGAGGUGCAAGAACUUAAUUAUACUUUAAAUAGGUCAAAUUAAUUUUAUUAAGGGCUUAAUUGAUGAAAAUCUAAGUUUAGAAGCCCAAUUUGAGCUUAAUUGAGAAAAUUGGAAUUUUAGAAAACCAAAUAUAAUUUCCUUAAAGUCAAUUGGUUCAAAUUAGGGGUAAAAUCGCAAGAAAAACAAAUUUUUUUGGUCAAUUAAGGGUUAAAUUGAAGAGAUUUGCAACUAAGGACCAUUUUGCAAAACAUAUCGAACUAUGGGGUAAUUCAUGAAAAUCAGGGAUGAAAUUGAAGAAAAUUUAAAGUUUGAUGGUCAAAUUGCAUAAAUCCAAGACCAAGGAUCAAAUUGAAAAAGAUGCUAAAAUUCAGGGCUGAUAUUGAAAUCCAGCAAGGGCAAAAUUGUAUUAAAUCAAAAGUUUGGAGUCAAUUAGGGGUCAAAUUGAAAGAAAUCAAAAGCUGAAGGACCAAAUUGAACUUUGGAAAACUACCUUAAUUUAAGGUCCAAAAUGGAUUUGUUUUUUAACAUUAAAAAAAAAAGGCAACCAGACGACGCAUCGUCUAGUUAAUGUCCAUUGUCUUCUUCUUCUGACCCGAAAACGUUGUUUGGAUGGCUAUUUUUCAUGGGCAUUUAAUACUUCAUCUCUCAAUCAAACCGGACAAACCAUACACCACCAUGAUGAGCUGACAUUAUACUUCACCCCAGAGUGGAUCUCGCCGGCUAAUUAUCCCUACAGCCGCCACAGUGUCGCCUCAAAUUGGUCAAUCUAACUAACAUUUAGCAACCAGCUUUUUCAGGUCAUGAUAACAACUUUGAACCAACGGUUAAGAUCCUUCUGUGUCGAAUCAAGAGCCAAGAUUGGCACUAGUAAAGACAAGAUGUCCAUCUUCCAUGCCCCGAGCAUCAAGAAAUUAGAGCCCAAAUUUGGUGCAAAUAAGUUUUUCUUACCAGAUCUUUUGUUCUUCUCCACCAGCCAUCUUCUUCCUCUUCUUUCGCAACAUCUUCGCUUCUUUCGCAACAUCUUCGCUUCCAGCAAUGCUGCCAACAACACGUUGGCCUUCCUAGCAUUGCUAAUUAGCAAUCCCCCAUAGUUGGUAACCUUUUCUUCCCCUUUUUGGAUGCAAACGAGGCAGCCAUUUGUAAGCAUAACAUUUGGUUCUGCAUGCAAAAUUCAACCACUUCAUAUGGUCAUUGGGUCGGGCCAAUGACCAUGUGAAGAUAGGUUGGACCCCUUCCAACCCAACCCAUGAUGGCUUGGUUAAGUACAGCCCAUAAAAAAGGAUGAAGGCCAGGUCUGUUGGGCUGCCUGGCGCCACGACCUGACCCGGCAAGGUCCGGCCCAAAUGGCUGGGUAGGGCCCAGCCCAAUAUAUAUAAUAAUAAUAUUAAAAUAAAAAUAAAAACUUUGAAAGCCCUUCCAAAAAAUUUGUGAUUUUCUCGCACGUUUUUCUAUCAAUUUUGCAUAAUAUCGGGCUGUAUAAUUACACUAUAUGAUACAUAUCCGAUAUUAAAACACCUAGUUUUUUCUGAAACAUUUCAAAAUAAAAUUCAAAAUUUUUUAAAUUAAUUUCCUCUUUCAAAAAAACAAAAAAUGUUUUGUUUUCAUGCAUAUAGUCAAAUCCUCAAAGUUUUCCAAGCAUGUUUUCAAAAAAAAAAAACAAAAAAUUGUAUUUUUCUCAUGUUUUAAAAUAUAAAAUAGAUAUCAUAACUAAUUUAUAAUUAUCCAUUAGGGUUUAACCAAAAUGUCAAAAACCCUUCACCAAUUAUUUUUUUCAUUUUAUAUUAUGGUUUAAAUGUAGACUUAAAUAUUUGGGGGCGUAAAACUAUACAGUAGAGUAUACCCUCAGGUAUUAAAGACAAAAGUUCAAUAUAAAUGCGAUACUAAAAUUUAGACUUUAGAACGGUUGGAUUUAACAUCAUAAGGUAUAGAUUUUGUCAUGAAGAGAGAUCUAUCUUAAACCUUAGACGAUUUCAACGAAUAGAAACUUAACUUAGAAUAACAAUCAAAAAACAAUGUACCUUACUUCAGGUAGGCUGCACUGGAGAUAAUGCGUCUUUUCCUUACACAAUCAGUCUCUUACUCAGACUCUCACAGACUAUAUGUUUCCUAGUAACCAUUAUAUUAAAUGGUGACUCUUAAAUCUUAAUUAUAAUUUUAUGCUUACAUCAAAAACUCUUUUUUUUUCUAACAAUACCUUUCAAGAGGCACUUAAAACGCGUCGUUUGACGUCGCCUGUGACAUAAUCCAUUAAACAUGAAAUGGAAAUAAAUAAGUAAAGAAUAUUGCAAGCAUCAAGUUGUCUAUCUCCGAAAAAAAAAAAGAAGAAGAAAAAUUUUGGAACCUUAAUUAAGUUUGUUUAAAUCUCUAUCACACCCAUUAUUUAAUGUUUGACAAACAACACAUGUAGAAUAGGUGAAACCAAACCUACAGUACAAUAUUUGCAUUUUUGUUGUGUUGUGAGAAAAAAAGAAAAGAAAAAGAACAUGGUCUGUCUCGGAAGGAGAAGGGAAAUUGACCGUUGUCGCUGCUUUUGACAGGGGGUUUGAAAUUAGCAACACCAUCUUGGGACCUUCGAGCAAGUCAACUUUCAUUUAAUUUUCGACUUUAUAAACACGGCUAGCCCACCGAAUUUUAUUAGGGGAAAAGCCCGUUCCCAAGUUGCCAUUGCCAUUAGAUUAUGACUUAUGGCUCACCUGUUUAAGAUAGUUCUAAUAAUAAAAUUUUAGUGGCUGACCGACCGAUCCUCGAAGCAGCAGAUUCUGCAAAGCGUCAAAAAACCAUGCAGCAAAGGGUAAUUAGAAGCAAGUCAGAAAAGCAAAAACCAAAUGGAAACCGGGUGCUGACUGCUCGUCAACUGUCUGUGUGCCCCUCAUUUACGUAUAAAUAAGCACAAGACCAACUUCUUAUUCAUCAACAUCAAAUCAGUUAUCUCGGAAAGCUUCUCUUUAUUUCACAGAGCACAGAGCCAACUCCUGAUUCAUCAAUAUCAUAUUAGUUCUCUCUAAAGCUUCCCUUUAAUUUACGGUUUUAAACCUUCUCUAGUUCUAGUUUGUGAGUAAAUUAAGAGAGACCAAAAAUGAGUGUGGAGAUUUUGGAUGGUGCCACCAUUGUCAACUUUCUGGAGGACGAGGAAGCAUUCAACGCGCAAAUAUGUGACCGCUUCGCCCACCUUGAUUCAGACCAUGAUGGACGGCUUUCCUACGGGGAAAUGUUGAAGGAGCUGCAGUGUUUGAGGUUAUUGGAAACCCACUUCGGCGUGGAUGUGGAAACAGACCCGGAUGAGCUUGCUCUCGUCUAUGGUUCUCUUUUUGUCCAAUUUGAUCAUGACUUGAAUGGGACAGUGGAGUUAGAAGAGUUCAAGUCAGAGACCAAGCAAAUGAUGCUAGCCAUGGCCAAUGGUAUGGGUUUCUUGCCUGUUCAGAUGGUCCUGGAAGAAGACAGUUUCCUGAAGAAGGCUGUGGAGUGGGAAUCUGCUAAACUCGUUGCCUGAUUAAUUCCACAUCCAUUACCCUAUACAUGACUCAUUAAUUGUCUUCGUUAUUUCUUUCUUCUCCGAAUGCAUUCCAAGUUUAGCUGAAUGUAGCAAAGAAAAUAAAUGAAAUGCUCUGUUAUUGGUGCAAUUUGGCAUCUUAAAACUCGGUUCUCUCCUAAUGCAAUUUGGUCAUGACCAUCCAGCCAUAGUUAAUAUAACGAAAGGCUGACAGAAACACGAAUAUCUUUCCUCUUUCAAGAGGGCUUCAUCAACUAAUAGAUACAUGGGCACAAGGAUUGAGCUGGAUGCAUCUCAGUCAUCGUUCAAAAUUUAGCUUCAAGGGAAUGGAAGAACAGAGUUGCAUCAGAAUGGUAAAAGAAUUUGCGUGUCAGGUCCAGGGGAAUAGAUGAAAAUUAAAGAAAUAACUGUCCUCAUAUAAAGUCUAGUUAAAUAAAAACUUCGAGUCGAAUCUGCGGUGCGAUUUAACUAGAUUUUGCGAUCUAAACACCAGAUUCCAUCAUGAUUUGUUUAGCAUGCGUAUGAAACAAACUCCCCGCAUUGGAUCAAAAAACAAUGACAUCUCAGGAGAUGGAAUGAAGGAGAGAAUGCUUUCGCCAAACAGCUCAAACAGGGAUACCAGAAGAUGCCCAUUAUUCAAGUCUUCGUUCAAACCUUGUUGAGAAUGUGAUGCGGAACAAUAAAUCAAAAAAUAAAAUAAAAAAUUAAAGCAGUAAAGAAUGAAGCCUUAAAGAAAUAAGUUAAGAAAUAAAAGUAAAGAAAGGGUAAAGCAAAAAAAAAAAACAGAGAGAAUUCAGGAAGAAAAGUCUAUCAUUUUUAUUUAAUCAUAACAAACUUUUGCAAAAACUAAAAGAGAAAUAUAUAAAUAGCAUAACCCUAAAACAUCCGUUUAUUGGGUUCAACUCAUCAAUUAAAAUUUUCUAGUAUAAAUAAGUCAAAUAAAUAAAAUAAAACAAUGAAAUAGGCCCAAAUGGACUCAAUCUUCCAACCAAAGAGUAACAUGCUAGGCCAUUCUAUGUCGUCUCUGUCCAUAUACUCGUGUAAUUUGCAGUGUGGGUCUAGAGUCCCCACCAACUCUCCCAGUGUAGCUCUGGAUGACCCUAAUAGCACUUCCAAAAAUUUGGAUCAAUCUGCUGCAAAGUAUCUAUAGUGAUCCAAAUACAAUUUGAAUCAGGUUGGCCCACCCAAGAAUUAGAAACCGUUGAACCUCACUAUUCCUAGUAAAAAAAACUUGUUCAACCAUAAUGACAUCAAUAUUAUCUUUUUGUGUUUAGAUCAAGGUCAAAGGGGUAGAAGUUUUAAUAAGAUCAUCAAGAGGAGAGUUAGGUGGCAUCUCAAAGGGAUCAUUUGGAAUAGGAUGUUGUUUCUGGUACGCAACUAAAUCCGCAAUGUUAAAUGUAAAGUUAAUGCUAAAAUCAAGUGGUAAAUCAAGAACACAAGCAUUUGGACCAACCCCUUGUAGCACUUUGAAUGGCCCUGCACUACGUGCAUGCAAUUUUUGAUUAGUUCCUAAAGGAAACUGCUUAUGUCUAUUUCGUAUCAUAACUUAGUCUCCUACAUUAAAUUUAUUAUAUCAUCUAUGUAAAUAAGCUUAGAGUUUAUAUUGUGCAUUACUUGUUUGAAUCUGCUUAGUGAUCUCAAUAUGCAAAUUCUAAAUUUUACGUGUAAAAAACUUUGCUAACUCAAACACCUUAGCAUGAAGAGACAUGGGAAGAACGUUUAAAGGUUUCCUAGGCUUGUAACCAUGUACAACUUCAAAGGGAAUCAUGCCAUUUGACAUAUUGACAAAACUAGUAAAUGCAAACUAGGUCAUAGGAAGAACCAAAUCCCAAUUUCUAUUAUGAUAACUCACUAGACACCUCAAAAGGUUGCCUAAUCUGGGUGGUAGGCACUAGAAAACUUCAACUUAGUUCCCACUAUAUGGCGAAGGGUUUUCUAGAAAUAACUCGUAAAUCUAACAUCCUUAUCUAAGACUAUGGUUUGGGGAAAAUCAUACAGCUUGACAAUCUCGUUAAAAUAGAGUUCCCCAACUCUAGAAGCAUCUGUGGUCUUAGUAAAAAGGAUAAAAUGAUCCAUUUUAGAGAAACGGUCAACAACCAUAAAAAAUGAAUCACGCUUCUUUGCAGUACGUGGAAGUCGACACACAAAAUCCAUACUUACAUUUUGCCAAGGGCAAGUAAAACAGGUAACGGGGUGUAAAGACCACUAUUUUGUUUUUCAGACAAUUGUAUAUUAAUGUUAUUGUUAUUAUAUUAUAGUCUACAUCUCUUUUCAAACUAGACUAAAACAAAUUGAUGUUCCCUCUUUUAAAUGGGUUUAUUUCUUCCAAAAUGUUCUGAAAGACCUUCAACAUGAAUCUCUCAUAUCAAAAAUUCACACACGGAUGUUUUCGAGAUAUAAAGCUUAUUAUCCCAAAACAAAUACCCUUCUUUGAGGUGAUAACUAUCUACAACAUGGUUAUUCUCAUCUCUCGAAGUCAUAUAUACUUCUCUAAAUUCUGAGCAAGAUUCAUACUCCUCUUUGAGCCUCUCAAAUCCAGUAACUUCUCAUUACGGAUAACAGUGUUACUCGACGAUUCAAGGCAUCUGCCGUUUUAUUCUAGAUUUAUGUUUCAAAACAAAUGAAUAACCUUGCAAAUAUUCAACCCAAUGACCAUGCCUAUUUCAACUGCAAAUAGAGAAAAGGAACAGACUAUGCGUUUCUAAGGCAAAUAAGGAGCAUAAACAAGUUGUUUUCCAACCCGGUGAUUGGGUUGGGUGCACAUGCAUAAGGAACAAUUUCCUAACCAAAGGAAAUCAAAAUUACAUCCUCGUAGUGAAGACCCAUUUUAGAUUUUUAAAGAGGAUCAAUGACAACGCAUUCAAAAUUGAUCUUUUAGGUGAAUAUGGUGUUACUGCUACCUUUAAAGUUGUUGAUCUUACUUUGUUUGACAUAGGUUUUGAUUCGAGGUUGAAUCCUUUCGAGGAGAGAGGGGAUGAUGUGGAUCAGCCCACAAACUCCAGCAAGAACCCAUUACAUGUUCUAAAUGGGCUAAUGACUCGGGGUAAGACAUAGGCAUUGAAAGAGGCAUUGAAUGCAUUGGUUUUGAAUGUUUCGACCAAGUCAAAUUUGAAGGGUCCAUUGGAGUAUCAAGAGAAGGCCUUAGUACAUCUUAUCCAUGUGCAAAAAGGACCUAAUCUAACCUUAUUUGGGCCAUGAGGUUUCGGUAAUAAGGUUGCCACUUUUCCAAAUGUUCGGUCAGUCUUGUUUUUAUAAUGUUUCUAUGUAUUUUUUAGAUUCCUAAUUAGUUUUGGACUUGCUAUUAUGUAUUAGAACAUUAAUUAUUUCCUUUAAGUAUUAGAAUUUAUUAUUUUAUUUAUUUUCUUGUUAGGUGAGGAGAAAACACAACAAAGAAAACAAAAAAAUCCAAGUUGACUUAGGAAGUGGCGGCAAAGCUUCCUAAUUAUGCAAGGAGAUUAUUCCAAUAACUUCAAUUAUGUUUCCUAAUAUUACAAGGAUCCUAAGAGGUGGCAAAAGAAGGGAAUUAAUACCUUAAAUUACUUUCCUUUCAAAAUAAGAAAAAAAAACAUAAGUUUAAGAUCAAAAUCCUACUACAACUUGCAAACAACAUAGGCGGCUACCUUUCCUUUAGUUUCAAGGAUUAAUGAGAUGUAUGGAAGAUUAUAAAUAAGCCUUGAAUCAAUUUUGUAAUAUUUUCUUUCCUUCUCUUCUUCUCACGGUGAAAUAAAGAUUUAAUAUUAUAGGCUUUUUUAUAUUUUGUUUAGGCUUAAUUAAUAUAUAUAUUUUUAGCUAGGAUCCAAGGCUUGUUUGGAUUAGGGUUUGGGUUUACUAGUAAAGGUUUUGGGUCAGUUUUUAUAUGUGGGUCAGUUUAGCCCCCAAGGGUGGAUUCAUUUAGGUUAAUUUUUUAGAACUAUUUAAACACAUGAAAGCCUAAAUUUCAGCAGCGAUUGAUGAAUAAUACUUAUGAAUUUUUCAAUUUUAACGUGUGAGAGAGAUUCUUGUAUUUUUUGGUUCUUGAACGAAAUGAAUCUAACUUCUCAAAGAUUAAUUGGCUUCAUGGCGUCAUUCGACAUCAUUCCAAUAAUGUUGGUGUCUUAGGACAGGUUCCUAUUGUGUGACACUCCUAUCAGAUCAAUUUUGUCUUUUUAGGAUCAGAUCUCAAUCUUGAAUGUGGAUUGUGUGACCACGUAAUCACGAGGUUCACAUCAGUGUUCAAGAGAUGCUAAUAAAUAUCUUUGAGUGGUAAAGGUAUGUCAAUAUUUGAUACGAGCACUUGAGCAUCCGAUGACAUAAUGAGAUCCAAUUGGACAAGACUCCUAAUCUGAGAGCCAUUUCCCUAUUCAUAUUCUAUCAUGACUUUAGAGUUCACAUUUGGGGUUUCCUCGAAGGUGAUCCAUCUUGCCUCAAUAAGUUUGAGGAACUUGUCUUUAAAAGCAUAACAACUUUGAAUGUUAUGACCACUAGUGCCAUCAUGAUACUCACAUAUCUAGUUAGGAUCAUACCAUUUUAGAUAUAGGGGUUGAAAUGGUUUCUAGAGAAUCAAAAUAAUUUGUCGAAUAUUGACCAAUAUUUUAAAUAUCUCCUUAAAAGAUAAAGGAAAGGGCGAUAGAGUUUUCUUUAACUACUGUGACUUUUCAUAUAUUUGCUUUUUAGAUCGAACCUAAUUAGCCAUUUGAGGAGAAUGAUUCGGAUGCUAAGAUACAUGAUGAUCUUAAUUCAUACUUCCCAUAUGGAAGCUAUCUUCUAUUUUGUCAAAUGACAUAGUAUUAAACCUAUCUUCUUAAUUCCAUAUCCUUCUCAAUUUCAAUCCUUGCUCCACCCUCUCUGCUGUCAUUAUUAUCUCUAUAAAAUAAGUUGAUCAAUUACAAGUUAUGUAAUCACAAUAAUGAGUCUUUAAAGUAUUGAUGAAGAUGGAAUUGAUCUCAUUUUAUAGUAGUGGAGCGUAAACUUGUGUUUCCAUUUCUCGCAGCCUCAUCGCAUAUUCCUUGACUGACUCAUCAUUUCUCAUCUCAAUUCUUUGAAUGUCUAACCUGGUUAGAGCCAUCUUUAAGUUGAAUCCAAAUUAUUGCAGAAAUGCAUCAGCCAAGUAUUCUCAUUUCUUCUUUUCAGAGCCAUUUAAAUCCAAGUUGGGUUUUAAAAUUAUGAUAAUAAUCAUUUUUAUCCUUACAUGUCUUAUUUGUACAAUUUUGAAAUUGAGAGUUUUUUACAAGGAUAUUUUAGAAAUAAAAAAUAACAAAUAUUAUUUCUAGAGACAUGUCCUCUAUGUACCUUCUAUUUUGAAAGUAUAGACAUUCACUCCAAAAUUAUCCGAGAAACAUAUUUCUUUUUAUGUUUUUAUCUCUUUAACAAAACAUAUUUAUGUCUUCAUUGUCUUCGUAUGUUCUGUCUCAGGACAGUAACCAAACACUACCUAGUAUACACUAUUUAAACUAUUUUUAAUGAUUUGGAUAUUAAUUAUCUUUUUUGAAUAAAAUUUCAAGAGUCAAGUUUCUCUAUACAACUUCACUGUUAUUAUUGUUCCAAGGGUUUUUGAGAAAUAAUAAACCCUAAUACUUCUAGUAAGCUGCAUCAUUUGUAUAAAGAAAGCAUCAUUGUUAACUGGAAUAUUUUAAAAGCUUAAACACCUAAAAAAAGUUAGACUGACAAAUAGACUCCUAAGCAACUAAAUGCUUUUCCUAUGACCCUUUGAAUUACCCUAUCAUAAUAGAAAGUGAUUCAUCAUGCUAAAGAUAAUCGAGUCGUCUGCCAACCUUGCACUCCAUUCUGAACUUUUUCCACCACUAUACUAUAUGUAUUUGUUAACAAGCACAUGUAACAUAGGAACUCCAAAAUAUUACCAAAUAUUUUCUAUUAAAGCAAACCCUAAAUAUGAAUUGAUAUCACGAGUCACCCUUAGACGAAUAAAACAAUCUGGUUUUAGCCACACUAACAUUUUUUUACCAAAAAGUUACAAAAGUCAUGUAUGAUAACUUUGAUUUGCUUCAAAUCAGGUUUUGCAAAAAAGAAUUGUCACCAACAAAUACAGAUGACAACUUCACCCGACUCGUUUGGAAUCUAGUGUCAUUCAAUUCGGUUGGAUCAUAUUUUUAUCCAAUUUUAUUUGAAAAAUAAAUAAAAUUCAAUUCAAUUUGACUAAAGAUAGAUGCGGAGGUUAAUAAAUGGUUCACUUAACCCAUCACUUGACUCAACUUUUACGUGGUUUUUUAACCCUUUUAUAUUUUAUAGAGUUGUAAUUUAUAUUUCAAUAUAGUAUAUGGAUUUUUAUCCCAUUAUUCACGGAGGAUUGUUAUGGUUUUACAUGUAGAUGUAAAGUUUAGACUCUAUUUUAUUGUUUUAUGAUUUAUAGAUGGAUAUAUUUUUUUUUUAAGCUUCAAUUUUAUUUUUUAAAAUUUGAUUAAAAAUAUAACAAUUGGAUCAAAUGAGGUACUUGUCGAAUGAAGAAAGUUCUUCAUCCAAUCCAAUCGUAUACAAGAUGAAGUCAAGUGCUGGAUUUAGAUAUCUCUGGUUAGAGAUGGGGGAGCAAAAUUCAGUCGCAACCCAAUCUUUAUCGUUCUUGUAAAUAAAGAAAGGAUGAGAAAUAAUCAAACCCCUUUACUAAAAUAGACAAAUUCAUUCUCUAGUCUCAACCGUAUUGGAUCAAUUUUUCCAUACAUAAAACAAAGGUAUAAGAAUAAAGGAUCGUCAUAUUGAAUACCUUGUGAUGAAGUAUAGGAAUUUGAAAUCUUAGCUUUCCAACUCACUUAUAACAAGGUUACUGUGAUACGCUUCAUGAUUAAGGAUGUGAAACUAUCCAAAAUACCAUAUCCCUAAUAACGUUUAGGAUCAAGUCCUACCUCAAACAAUCAUAAACCUUUUUUAGGUCUAUCUUAAUCAUCAUCAGAUAUAUUCUAAUUUUCUUUUCUACAUCUAGAGUUAAGAGCCAAUCAUACAAUCAUAGUGGUAUUAUUGUGCUUCUUUGAAACAAAACACUGGUACUGACUAGCGAAUAUGUGCCAGUCAAGAGUAUUUGCCAUGAAACUCUGUAUAAACUUCUUAAUUGGUUAGCAUUCUUACUUCAAUGUAAUUAAUGUUUUUACAUUCUGAAACUCUUAUUUGAAGCACAUCACGCAAUGCUUUCUUUAGACCUAACUUUUCUUAUAUACAUGUCUUAUGUGAUAAGGAUAAGGAAAAUCUUCAAUUUUCCUAGUUUGUCAUGUUGGUAACAGACUGUUAACGUGUUUUGACAAAAACAAUGAUAAAGUUAUCUUCAGAUUACUUUUUCUACUUUAUAUUAACUUAUCUCUUAAAUAAUCUAAACUAAUCAAAUAAUUACAGAGAAGAUAAUACUAACUAAUCUUGAUAAACUUCUAUCUUAGCUAAAUUAUCCUUUUACCAACCAUAAAAAGAUCUUCACUAAUCUAAACUAAUAAAAUGACAUUUAUUACAAAGUUGAUCCCGUUAUUCUCUUAGGUUAUUAUUAGAUGGGGGAAAGUAAAGGUCUAAAGGCAAAAUGUCAAAACUUCUAUAUUUAAAAUUAGUUGAAAAUCAUACCUUGUUUUCUCUGUAAGUGGCAUGUUGAUGACAACUAUGUCAUAUUUAGAAAGCAUUGAAUCUAGAUCCUCCUCAAACUUUGCUCCUGUUUGAUUCUCCAACUCUGUCUUCAUCUUAAGUCUAUCAUGAUACAGUAGAGUGCAAUUGAAAGGUUUCAAACGUUAGAGUAAAAGCCUUCUGAUGCAUCUAGCACCAACAGUUUCCACUGUCUUUCCUUCAAGAUCGUAAGCCCUGUAUGUAAUAACUGCCACAUUCUACUUCCCAUUGAUUGAUGACUUAUGAUAUCCAGGUAAGAAAUAUCAUACAAGAACAAGGAUUCUCAUGAGCUCAUCUUUUGCAACUGGGACAACAUUGCUUCUUGUGACCUCUGCAGUAGUUAACCAGGUAGCAGCCGCUGCCUUCAAAUCUCUAUGAUCAGAACCAAUUCCAGCAGUGAGAAGAGGUUUGUUGCCCUCUUGAUCAUUUAUGUCGUAACAUACGCAGGGUGGAAAGGUGUAGUGAUGAGGACAUGGAGAUAAGGAAUAUGCUUGUCAAGUUCUGUGACAAUUACACAGUCGAAGAGCAAAAAAUCAACAAACUGGCCAUCCUAAUAAUCUUGGAAAUAAAAGGCACAAAUUGAGCAUCUUGAAAUCAUUUAAUGUCAUCACUACGAUUAGGACAUGGAGAUCAGCAGUAGAUCUUGUUGUUCUCUUAGGUCAUUAGGGAAAGUAAAGGUCUAAAGGCAAAAGAUCUAAACUUCUAUAUUUAAAAUUAGUUGAAAAUCAUACCUUGUUUUCUAUGUAAGUGGCAUGUUGAUGACAAUUAUGUCAUAUUUAGAAAGCAUUGAAUCUAGAUCCUUCUCAAACGUUACACUUGUCUGAUUCUCCAAUGUGGCUCUAUGUUAAGUCUAUCAUGAUACUGUAUAGUGCAAUUGAAAGGCUUCAAACGUUGGAGUAAAAGCCUUCUGAUGCGUCCAACACCAACAAUUCCCAUUGUCUUUCCUUCAAGAUCAUAAGCCCUGUAUGCAAUUGCUACCACAUUCCACUCCUCAUUGAUAACUUGAUGAUAUCUAGGUAAGAAAAUUCAUACAAGAACAAGGAUUCUCAUGAGCUCCUCUUCUCCAACUGAGACAACAUUGAAAAUAGGGAAACACUCAAUAUCCUAUAGAUGCAGGAACACAACUUGAACAAAGAACCUAAAUGCUUAAAAACAACACACUUGCAGGCUUGAAGCUCCUUAUAUUUUUAGCCUCGUGUGAAGAUGUGGACAAUGAUUGUCAACGGUGAUCAUAUGCUAUAUUUUCAGCCUCUUGUUCAAGGUAAUUCUAUUGAGGAUUAAAUACUUACUCAUCUUAUAUCUUUCUAUAUGGAGGCCUAUUUUAGUUUAUGUUAUGUCAGGUGCGUGUUAUGUCAGGUGCAUCCUCCAUGAAGAAAAAAAAUGAAAAAAUUCAGUUAGAACCAUAAUUAAGUUUGUUUAAUUCUCUAAGACAACUAUAUGCCCAUUAUUUAAUGUUUGACAAACAACACAUGUAGAAUAGACAACUAUAUGCCCGUAUUUUCAUUUUUGUUGUGUAUUGCGGGGAAAAAAAGAAGAAGAAGAAGAAAAAGAACAUGGUCGGUCCGUCUUACAAGGAGAAGGGAAAGUGACCGCUGUCGGUGCUUUCGACGGGGGUUUUGAAAUUACCAGCACCAUCUUUGGACCUUCGAGAAGUCAACUUUCAUUUGAUUUUCGACUUUAUAAACACGGCUAGCCCACCGAAUUUUAUUAGGGGAAAAGCCCAUUCCUAAGUUGCCAAUGCCAUUAGAUUCUGACUGAUGGCUCGCGUGUUUAAUAAGUUUUUAGUGGCUGACCGACCGAUCCUUGAAGCAGCGGAUCAUGCAAAGCGUCAAAUAACCAAAUGGAAACUGGGUGCUAACUAUAUUUCUGACUGCUAGUCAACUGUCUGUGUGCCCCUCAUUUACGUAUAAAUGAGCACGAGACCAGCUUCUUAUUCAUCAACAUCAAAUCAGUUAUCUCGAAAGCUUCUCUUUAUUUCACAGAGCACAGAGCCAACUCCUGAUUCAUCAAUAUCAUAUUAGUUCUCUCUAAAGCUUCCCUUUAGUUUACGGUUUUAAACCUUCUCUAGUUCUAGUUUGUGAGUAAAUUAAGAGAGACCAAAAAUGAGUGUGGAGAUUUUGGAUGGUGCCACCAUUGUCAACUUUCUGGAGGACGAGGAAGCAUUCAACGCGCAAAUAUGUGACCGCUUCGCCCACCUUGAUUCAGACCAUGAUGGCCGGCUUUCCUACGGGGAAAUGUUGAAGGAGCUGCAGUGUUUGAGGUUAUUGGAAACCCACUUCGGCGUGGAUGUGGA
RNAcentral lists this long non-coding RNA (25851 nucleotides) under Populus trichocarpa (black cottonwood). RNAcentral describes it as "long non-coding RNA (PTRI_LNC000741)". The record is from RNAcentral. Lineage: Eukaryota; Viridiplantae; Streptophyta; Magnoliopsida; Malpighiales; Salicaceae.